RNAcentral lists this ribosomal RNA (484 nucleotides) under uncultured bacterium. RNAcentral describes it as "partial 16S ribosomal RNA". It matches the Rfam family "Bacterial small subunit ribosomal RNA", at positions 30 to 507 of the family's 1533-position model. The record is from RNAcentral.
AUUGAACGCUAGCGGGAUGCUUUACACAUGCAAGUCGAACGGCAGCGCGGACUUCGGUCUGGCGGCGAGUGGCGAACGGGUGAGUAAUGUAUCGGAACGUGCCCAGUAGCGGGGGAUAACUACGCGAAAGCGUAGCUAAUACCGCAUACGCCCUACGGGGGAAAGCAGGGGAUCGUAAGAUCUUGCACUAUUGGAGCGGCCGAUAUCGGAUUAGCUAGUUGGUGAGGUAACGGCUCACCAAGGCGACGAUCCGUAGCUGGUUUGAGAGGACGACCAGCCACACUGGGACUGAGACACGGCCCAGACUCCUACGGGAGGCAGCAGUGGGGAAUUUUGGACAAUGGGGGCAACCCUGAUCCAGCCAUCCCGCGUGUGCGAUGAAGGCCUUCGGGUUGUAAAGCACUUUUGGCAGGAAAGAAACGUCGCGGGCUAAUACCCCGUGGAACUGACGGUACCUGCAGAAUAAGCACCGGCUAACUACGUG